This 619-nucleotide ribosomal RNA is filed under the name Parazoanthus sp. New Caledonia Shallow. RNAcentral's name for it is "partial 16S large subunit ribsomal RNA". It matches the Rfam family "Bacterial large subunit ribosomal RNA", at positions 1857 to 2441 of the family's 2925-position model. The record is from RNAcentral. Lineage: Eukaryota; Metazoa; Cnidaria; Anthozoa; Zoantharia; Parazoanthidae.
GCCUGCCCAAUGGUUGUAUCUAAAAGCGGUUGAUAAAAGUCGACCGCGUAAGGACAAUUGAAUGGCCGCGGUAACACUGACCGUGAUAAUGUAGCGUAAUCAAUAGCCAAUUAAUUGUUGGCCAGUAUGAAUGGCGCCACGAAGGCCCCACUGUCUUAAGGAAAUUCCCAGUGAAAUUGAAUUYGUAGUGAAGAUGCUACGUCCAAUUUGUUAGACGAAAAGACCCCGUUGAGCUUUACUGGGGCACUUACACGGCCCCGGCCUUCAAGACUGGGUUGAUAAGCCAAGGCUUACCAUACCUAGGGACCGGCCGAAUUUAAAUGGGUGGCUUAGACUAUGUGGCAGCCCCCCCCGUCGGGGCAGAUGAAACCCCACUCCCCCAUGUCAAAGGGGCUAACCCCCCCCCCUUGGGGGGGGACAAUGUAAGUAGGACAGUUUGGUUGGGGCGACCGCCUUUUAGAAAGUAACGAAGGUGCGCUUAAGGUGCGUAAUUAAUGACUGAAGCCUGACUGCGAGGGGGAUACCCCGAGCAGACACCCCCAAGCCCGCCCGAGAAGGCUUUGCCUUCUGGGCGGCGGUGGGGUGGGCCAUAGUGACCCGUUAAUUUAGAGUGGAAUAG